GGAAACCAAGAAUAACUAUUGAGAUCUUGAAGAUCAAAUAAUCUAAGUGUUGACAAUGCUCUCAACCUCAAAAUACCAUAGUGUAUUUUCUAUCUCUUACAUAAUUCAAAACUGGUUGCUGCCUAACCAAGCCUGAAAACAUCCAAUUAUCUAAACGUAGAAAAAUACCAGAAAAAAGUUAAGAUUGUCGAUGCGAAGAACAAAAACAACCAAAAUUCGCAAUUGCUGUGUUGAGAUGAAGCAGCCUCUAUACCACACUAAAUAAAGCCUCAGAAGCAGAAGGUUGCUCUUGCUAUACUAAGCUGACUCAUGGCUUGAAGUCAGAAAACACGACAACAGAGUUGUGACCACCAAAACCAAAUGAAUUUGAGAUUGCAACAUUGAUCUCGUGCUGCUGUUUCUUGUUUGCAACUGUAUCAAACUCAACUGAAGGCUCAGUGUUAAAUUGGUUUAUUGAAGGAUGCAGCCAGCCAGUUUUUAUGGCUUUAACUGUUGCAAUAGCUUCCAGGCCACCAGCAGCACCCAGGCAGUGACCUAUCAUGGACUUGGUUGCAUUCAUUUUGAUCUCUGAAGUGUUCUUGAAUACCUUCUUAAUAGCGUUUACCUCAGCUAGAUCACCAACUAUUGUGGAAGUUGCAUGAGCAUUUAUGUAAUUAACCUCUUCUGGUGACACUCCAGCAUCUUCAAGGCUACUAAGGAUGCAUGAAGAAACACCAAGUCCAUCAGCUCUGGGGUCAGUCAUGUGAUGAGCAUCACAAUUUACUGCACCACCCAAGUACUCUGCAAUUAUGGGUGCUCCUCGUUUCAUUGCAUGCUCCAAACUUUCCAUCACCAACACUCCAGCUCCCUCUCCCAUAACAAAGCCG
Molecule: unclassified non-coding RNA, 866 nt
Filed under: Hevea brasiliensis (rubber tree)
Lineage: Eukaryota; Viridiplantae; Streptophyta; Magnoliopsida; Malpighiales; Euphorbiaceae
Source: RNAcentral